GUUUCUAUUGAGAGAUAAAAGGCUGGUUGAAUGAGUUGCCUGUGAAAGCUACUUCAUCUGCAAGAAAACAGGCGGCUGCACCAGUGACUGGGUCAGUGCUCUAAAAUGAGUCUC
Non-coding RNA from Salmo salar (Atlantic salmon), 114 nucleotides. The record is from RefSeq and is a predicted model, not a curated record. Lineage: Eukaryota; Metazoa; Chordata; Actinopteri; Salmoniformes; Salmonidae.